Molecule: ribosomal RNA, 1462 nt
Filed under: Klebsiella quasipneumoniae
Lineage: Bacteria; Pseudomonadati; Pseudomonadota; Gammaproteobacteria; Enterobacterales; Enterobacteriaceae
Description: bacterial SSU rRNA
Rfam family: Bacterial small subunit ribosomal RNA
Source: RNAcentral
AUUGAACGCUGGCGGCAGGCCUAACACAUGCAAGUCGAGCGGUAGCACAGAGAGCUUGCUCUCGGGUGACGAGCGGCGGACGGGUGAGUAAUGUCUGGGAAACUGCCUGAUGGAGGGGGAUAACUACUGGAAACGGUGGCUAAUACCGCAUAACGUCGCAAGACCAAAGUGGGGGACCUUCGGGCCUCAUGCCAUCAGAUGUGCCCAGAUGGGAUUAGCUAGUAGGUGGGGUAAUGGCUCACCUAGGCGACGAUCCCUAGCUGGUCUGAGAGGAUGACCAGCCACACUGGAACUGAGACACGGUCCAGACUCCUACGGGAGGCAGCAGUGGGGAAUAUUGCACAAUGGGCGCAAGCCUGAUGCAGCCAUGCCGCGUGUGUGAAGAAGGCCUUCGGGUUGUAAAGCACUUUCAGCGGGGAGGAAGGCGAUAAGGUUAAUAACCUUGUCGAUUGACGUUACCCGCAGAAGAAGCACCGGCUAACUCCGUGCCAGCAGCCGCGGUAAUACGGAGGGUGCAAGCGUUAAUCGGAAUUACUGGGCGUAAAGCGCACGCAGGCGGUCUGUCAAGUCGGAUGUGAAAUCCCCGGGCUCAACCUGGGAACUGCAUUCGAAACUGGCAGGCUAGAGUCUUGUAGAGGGGGGUAGAAUUCCAGGUGUAGCGGUGAAAUGCGUAGAGAUCUGGAGGAAUACCGGUGGCGAAGGCGGCCCCCUGGACAAAGACUGACGCUCAGGUGCGAAAGCGUGGGGAGCAAACAGGAUUAGAUACCCUGGUAGUCCACGCCGUAAACGAUGUCGAUUUGGAGGUUGUGCCCUUGAGGCGUGGCUUCCGGAGCUAACGCGUUAAAUCGACCGCCUGGGGAGUACGGCCGCGAGGUUAAAACUCAAAUGAAUUGACGGGGGCCCGCACAAGCGGUGGAGCAUGUGGUUUAAUUCGAUGCAACGCGAAGAACCUUACCUGGUCUUGACAUCCACAGAACUUAGCAGAGAUGCUUUGGUGCCUUCGGGAACUGUGAGACAGGUGCUGCAUGGCUGUCGUCAGCUCGUGUUGUGAAAUGUUGGGUUAAGUCCCGCAACGAGCGCAACCCUUAUCCUUUGUUGCCAGCGGUUCGGCCGGGAACUCAAAGGAGACUGCCAGUGAUAAACUGGAGGAAGGUGGGGAUGACGUCAAGUCAUCAUGGCCCUUACGACCAGGGCUACACACGUGCUACAAUGGCAUAUACAAAGAGAAGCGACCUCGCGAGAGCAAGCGGACCUCAUAAAGUAUGUCGUAGUCCGGAUUGGAGUCUGCAACUCGACUCCAUGAAGUCGGAAUCGCUAGUAAUCGUAGAUCAGAAUGCUACGGUGAAUACGUUCCCGGGCCUUGUACACACCGCCCGUCACACCAUGGGAGUGGGUUGCAAAAGAAGUAGGUAGCUUAACCUUCGGGAGGGCGCUUACCACUUUGUGAUUCAUGACUGGGGUG